Molecule: ribosomal RNA, 253 nt
Filed under: uncultured bacterium
Lineage: Bacteria
Description: partial 16S ribosomal RNA
Rfam family: Bacterial small subunit ribosomal RNA
Source: RNAcentral
GACGUAGGGCGCGAGCGUUGUCCGGAUUUAUUGGGCGUAAAGAGCUCGUAGGCGGCUUGUCGCGUCGAAUGUGAAAACCCACGGCUCAACUGUGGGCUUGCAUUCGAUACGGGCAGGCUAGAGUGCGGUAGGGGAGAUUGGAAUUCCUGGUGUAGCGGUGGAAUGCGCAGAUAUCAGGAGGAACACCAAUGGCGAAGGCAGAUCUCUGGGCCGUAACUGACGCUGAGGAGCGAAAGCAUGGGGAGCGAACAGG